RNAcentral lists this ribosomal RNA (433 nucleotides) under uncultured bacterium. RNAcentral describes it as "partial 16S ribosomal RNA". It matches the Rfam family "Bacterial small subunit ribosomal RNA", at positions 29 to 507 of the family's 1533-position model. The record is from RNAcentral.
AACGAACGCUGGCGGCAUGCCUAACACAUGCAAGUCGAACGAGACCUUCGGGUCUAGUGGCGCACGGGUGUGUCACGCGUGGGAACCUGCCCUUAGGUUUGGAAUAACUCCCCGACAGGGGUGCUAACACCGGAUAAUGUCUUCUGACCAAAGAUUUAUCGCCCUUGGAUGGGCCCGCGUUGGAUUAGCUUGUUGGUAGGGUAAAAGCCUACCAAGGCGACGAUCCAUAGCUGGUAUGAGAGGAUGAUCAGCCACACUGGGACUGAGACACGGCCCGGACUCUUACGGGAGGCAGGAGUGGGGAAUAUUGGAACAUGGGCGAAGGCCUGAUGGAGCAAUGCCGGGUGAGUGAUGAAGGCCUUAGGGUAGUAAAGCUCUUUUACCCGGGAUGAUAAUGACAGUACCGGGAGAAUAAGCUCCGGCUAACUCCGUG